GUAUUCUGCACGGACUGCUGGGCAGCACUAGCACUCUGGAGAAGGUCUGCCGCUGUCUGCACUUUCCUGGUGAGAAUCCCCAAUGACAGUCCCACUUUUCAGUGGAGGAGAACAAAAUAUCUGUCUACUCUCUUGAAGAAGGACACGGCUUUGAUCAUAUUUGUUCAGGCUUGACUUGGCCGGAGGUUUUAGGUUCUUAGUCUCAAGUCAGCAGUCUCUCUCUCUCUCUCUCUCUCUCUCUCUCUCUCUCUCUCUGAAACACACACACACAGAGACGCACACACACACAAGCACACACAUACACAAGCGCAAAUCCUCUCUUUCUCUUUCUCUCAUUUCCCGUCAUAGGUUCUAUGCAGGCAGAUGAGUGUCACAGCUGUAACUGAGGCACAGAGCAGUACACACAGUGGAGCCGAUUUCCGCGAUGGCGAGAGGGGGCACCGGAGGUGACAACAAUAACAAGACUGUCCUUCGGACAAGUUUUAGGAAGAAUGACUUGGGCAAUACCAAAUGUUGAGUUAUCAAGUAUUUCGAUACCCAUAUGCAUCAUCUGCUAUUCUCAGGAUGAUGGAGUGAGUGAUGGAAUAGGUUGCCAACUGUAGUUACUCCACUCAGCACAGAAUGGCUGCGGGGAAAUAUAAUCAGACAUGCCCAAAGAAGUCUGCUUAGGGUGAAACAAAUACCUUUGAGGUUUAAAUCAGAAAGGAAGGAGAGACUGUUUCUACAGGUGUCAUACAAAAAUCAAUACUGAGCCAAGGAUUAUUGGAUCCCAUAGAACCACGGAGACUUGGUAGUGAAAUUCUUCCAAAGCAUUCCAUCCGUGCAGGCAGAUGGUGUUCCUAGGUUUGGAAAUAUAAAUCCCAUGGGAAGUCAGCUGAAGACCAUUUUAUGCAUCACUCAUCCUGUUAGAGCCCUGUGCUGUUCUGUCUCUCUAUAAGACUGGCUGAAACCACCACGGUUGUUUACAAUUUAUGCUCUAACUUUGGAUCACCUAGUUAAUACUCUAACUCCGAUUAUUACCAAAGACAAUGUUCUAUAAAAGAUAUUGUCUAUUAGAAGGAUGCUUCUGCAUUAUUAAUAAAAUCACAGGGAAAAUGCAACAUUUUGGAUGUCACAUCUGAUAAGUGGGUGACUGAUCGUACCCGCCAGCUGGCUAAUGUCAUAAUUAACAAAGUUGCUACUACAUCUGCAAAGUUUAAUCGAAAAAUUUGCCAGUGAUAUGAUGGCCUUGUCACAGAGAUCACAAGGGACACGGAGUUGACUUUUGCUCAAGGUGGAACGACAGAGCUGUGUAGGCAAGAUGAGAAAUUGCGAACUUGUUCGGCCAAAGGAGGCUAAUAAUGAAGGGGCCGGGAAGGAGGCCAGUGCUACCAGGGUUAUCUCACAACCUCAGAUGCUGGAUAAGUCGACGGAGGCAGAAUCGCUUUGGGAUGACAUUCAGAAAGCCUGGAGUGAUUACUUGCAAGAGAAAAGCCUACCUAUUCUUUCCAAGGUGCAGGAAUAUUCCCCUGACCUGCUCAUCCAGUGGUCCAGUAAUGAAUUACUGGAGACCUGCCUUAGACAAAGAAUGCACUCGGAGCCCCAACACACCUAAAGCCAUGCUUUGAAGGAUCUGCCAAGCUCACUUUUAAUCAUGAGAAAGAAAUUACCCACACGGAGUCAGCAGAAAAUGAGAAAGUAGAGCUCGUGCUGUGAAUAAUUCCAGCAAGUGCCAAGGGGCUAGUUGAGGAAUGGCUUCAUGAGAACAUGCUCUAGGGGAACUAUUAAUAGCCCACCAGUCGGGUAGGCAGCAUUCAAUCCUUCUAUGCCUUCUUUCGCCACCUGUUGAGGUCUUUCUUCUGAAACAAAGAAGAAAUAGACAAAUCAGACUUGCCCUCUUGGAAAUGUGGUCCAGAUUUCUCUACUCCCAAGCUCCAAAAAAGAUGUUAGUCUAAAACAGCACCUUGGAUCUAAGCAGCACCUUUGAGAAAGAAAAGACUGCUUCAAGAAUGUCUAGUUGCACCUCCUUUCCGUAUGUGGCCUAAAUGCCUAGGUUGGAUCAAUAGUUUAAUUUUUUUAUUGAACUGUUUAAUAUUGACUAUGGACUUACAUUCACUUUUACUGUUUUCUGUAUAUUUACUUUUGCUUGAAGUGUUUUAAUAUUGACUAUUUACCUCUGCUCAUUUUUAUUGAUUUUCUGUAUUUUUUCAAUGAAAAUUAUAAUAAAAAUUAUUUUUGUUA
Molecule: long non-coding RNA, 2220 nt
Filed under: Homo sapiens (human)
Lineage: Eukaryota; Metazoa; Chordata; Mammalia; Primates; Hominidae
Source: RNAcentral